This 254-nucleotide ribosomal RNA is filed under the name uncultured bacterium. RNAcentral describes it as "partial 16S ribosomal RNA". It matches the Rfam family "Bacterial small subunit ribosomal RNA", at positions 524 to 776 of the family's 1533-position model. The record is from RNAcentral.
UACGAAGGGUGCAAGCGUUACUCGGAAUUACUGGGCGUAAAGCGUGCGUAGGUGGUGAGUUAAGUCUGUCGUGAAAGCCCCGGGCUCAACCUGGGAAUGGCGAUGGAUACUGGCUCGCUAGAGUGCGGUAGAGGAGAGUGGAAUUCCCGGUGUAGCAGUGAAAUGCGUAGAGAUCGGGAGGAACAUCAGUUGCGAAGGCGGCUCUCUGGACCAGCACUGGACACUGAGGCACGAAAGCGUGGGGAGCAAACAGG